CGGGACGGGUGAGUAAUGUCUGGGAAACUGCCCGAUGGAGGGGGAUAACUACUGGAAACGGUAGCUAAUACCGCAUAACGUCGCAAGACCAAAGAGGGGGACCUUAGGGCCUCUUGCCAUCGGAUGUGCCCAGAUGGGAUUAGCUAGUAGGUGGGGUAAUGGCUCACCUAGGCGACGAUCCCUAGCUGGUCUGAGAGGAUGACCAGCCACACUGGGACUGAGACACGGUCCAG
Molecule: ribosomal RNA, 233 nt
Filed under: uncultured bacterium
Lineage: Bacteria
Description: partial 16S ribosomal RNA
Rfam family: Bacterial small subunit ribosomal RNA
Source: RNAcentral